RNAcentral lists this ribosomal RNA (249 nucleotides) under uncultured bacterium. RNAcentral's name for it is "partial 16S ribosomal RNA". It matches the Rfam family "Bacterial small subunit ribosomal RNA", at positions 28 to 260 of the family's 1533-position model. The record is from RNAcentral.
GAUGAACGCUAGCUACAGGCUUAACACAUGCAAGUCGAGGGGCGAGCAUUUUCUAGUUUUGUCUUGCAAACUAGGAGAUGGCGACCGGCGCACGGGUGAGUAACACGUAUCCAACCUGCCGAUAACUCGGGGAUAGCCUUUCGAAAGAAAGAUUAAUACCCGAUGGUAUAAUCAGACCGCAUGGUCUUGUUAUUAAAGAAUUUCGGUUUAUCGAUGGGGAUGCGUUCCAUUAGGCAGUUGGUGAGGUAA